AUACUAGAGGGCAAAUACGGACAAAUCGGUAUAAACAUUAAAGGGAUAUAUUCGUAAUUUGAUAUAUUUAUUGGGAUUUGUAUGUAAUUAUCUUUGUAAUGAAUAAAUAUGGAUGUUUGAAAGACUAAAAUUUAUAAUUUUAUCUUAUAUAUAGAUGUACAAAUCGUAUUUACCUUUCUUAAAUCCAAAAGUGAUUUAUAAACUCUAAGAUAAAGAACUAAAGAAGGUAUAAAAUGCAAGGAUUUAAGUGCCGUGGCACAGAGUCGUAUCGGAAAUUUGCCAGUAUGGUACGCAUGAUGCGUGCUGAACCUUGCUGAUGCGUGCCGAUCACAAAAAAUAUAUGUGUCGAUACGUAAUGACGUGAAAUAUUUAUUUUCUUUAACAACAAAAUAUACCAAUUAUUUAUUAUAUAUUUUUAUCAAAAUUUUUAAAUUUUAUUGAGAAAAUUUUUUAAUAAUUUAAAGAACAGAGAAUUUUGAGUUGUGCCAUCAGCACAGAACUGUAUCGUGCCGAUAUCCUACUGGCACGGUACGAUAUAAUAGAUACGGCUUGUGCUGAUAGGCAGUUAAAAUCUUGGUAAAACGUUCACGUAUAUGCAACUUG
Molecule: long non-coding RNA, 603 nt
Filed under: Ananas comosus (pineapple)
Lineage: Eukaryota; Viridiplantae; Streptophyta; Magnoliopsida; Poales; Bromeliaceae
Description: long non-coding RNA (ACOM_LNC001836)
Source: RNAcentral